AGAGUUUGAUCCUGGCUCAGGACGAACGCUGGCGGCGUGCCUAACACAUGCAAGUCGAGCGGAGACAGUGAGUAGCUUGCUAUGAGCUGUUUUAGCGGCGGACGGGUGAGUAACGCGUGAGCAACCUUUCCCAGACAGGGGAAUAACACACCGAAAGGUGUACUAAUACCGCAUAAGACCACGGGAUCACAUGGUUCUGGGGUAAAAGAUUUAUCGGUUUGGGGUGGGCUCGCGUCCGAUUAGGUAGUUGGUGAGGUAAUGG
Molecule: ribosomal RNA, 262 nt
Filed under: uncultured bacterium
Lineage: Bacteria
Description: partial 16S ribosomal RNA
Rfam family: Bacterial small subunit ribosomal RNA
Source: RNAcentral